This 1552-nucleotide ribosomal RNA is filed under the name Salmonella enterica subsp. enterica serovar Thompson. Its description in RNAcentral is "bacterial SSU rRNA". It matches the Rfam family "Bacterial small subunit ribosomal RNA". The record is from RNAcentral. Lineage: Bacteria; Pseudomonadati; Pseudomonadota; Gammaproteobacteria; Enterobacterales; Enterobacteriaceae.
AAAUUGAAGAGUUUGAUCAUGGCUCAGAUUGAACGCUGGCGGCAGGCCUAACACAUGCAAGUCGAACGGUAACAGGAAGCAGCUUGCUGCUUCGCUGACGAGUGGCGGACGGGUGAGUAAUGUCUGGGAAGCUGCCUGAUGGAGGGGGAUAACUACUGGAAACGGUGGCUAAUACCGCAUAACGUCGCAAGACCAAAGAGGGGGACCUUCGGGCCUCUUGCCAUCAGAUGUGCCCAGAUGGGAUUAGCUAGUUGGUGAGGUAACGGCUCACCAAGGCGACGAUCCCUAGCUGGUCUGAGAGGAUGACCAGCCACACUGGAACUGAGACACGGUCCAGACUCCUACGGGAGGCAGCAGUGGGGAAUAUUGCACAAUGGGCGCAAGCCUGAUGCAGCCAUGCCGCGUGUAUGAAGAAGGCCUUAGGGUUGUAAAGUACUUUCAGCGGGGAGGAAGGUGUUGUGGUUAAUAACCGCAGCAAUUGACGUUACCCGCAGAAGAAGCACCGGCUAACUCCGUGCCAGCAGCCGCGGUAAUACGGAGGGUGCAAGCGUUAAUCGGAAUUACUGGGCGUAAAGCGCACGCAGGCGGUCUGUCAAGUCGGAUGUGAAAUCCCCGGGCUCAACCUGGGAACUGCAUUCGAAACUGGCAGGCUUGAGUCUUGUAGAGGGGGGUAGAAUUCCAGGUGUAGCGGUGAAAUGCGUAGAGAUCUGGAGGAAUACCGGUGGCGAAGGCGGCCCCCUGGACAAAGACUGACGCUCAGGUGCGAAAGCGUGGGGAGCAAACAGGAUUAGAUACCCUGGUAGUCCACGCCGUAAACGAUGUCUACUUGGAGGUUGUGCCCUUGAGGCGUGGCUUCCGGAGCUAACGCGUUAAGUAGACCGCCUGGGGAGUACGGCCGCAAGGUUAAAACUCAAAUGAAUUGACGGGGGCCCGCACAAGCGGUGGAGCAUGUGGUUUAAUUCGAUGCAACGCGAAGAACCUUACCUGGUCUUGACAUCCACAGAAGAAUCCAGAGAUGGAUUUGUGCCUUCGGGAACUGUGAGACAGGUGCUGCAUGGCUGUCGUCAGCUCGUGUUGUGAAAUGUUGGGUUAAGUCCCGCAACGAGCGCAACCCUUAUCCUUUGUUGCCAGCGGUCCGGCCGGGAACUCAAAGGAGACUGCCAGUGAUAAACUGGAGGAAGGUGGGGAUGACGUCAAGUCAUCAUGGCCCUUACGACCAGGGCUACACACGUGCUACAAUGGCGCAUACAAAGAGAAGCGACCUCGCGAGAGCAAGCGGACCUCAUAAAGUGCGUCGUAGUCCGGAUUGGAGUCUGCAACUCGACUCCAUGAAGUCGGAAUCGCUAGUAAUCGUGGAUCAGAAUGCCACGGUGAAUACGUUCCCGGGCCUUGUACACACCGCCCGUCACACCAUGGGAGUGGGUUGCAAAAGAAGUAGGUAGCUUAACCUUCGGGAGGGCGCUUACCACUUUGUGAUUCAUGACUGGGGUGAAGUCGUAACAAGGUAACCGUAGGGGAACCUGCGGUUGGAUCACCUCCUUACCUUAAAGAA